UCUAUUUUUAAAGUUAACAUCGCAUUUUGCUUGUUCACCAUUUAAGAGUUUUAGUGCACAAUCAUCUGAAGCUAAUUUUUGAAGUUGAGAUCUACUGCAAAGCGUGGUUUCUUCGAUUUCUUUGCACUUUCCUGUUAUACCAUAUUUAAGGUGUUGUGAAAUGAAUAGAUUUAAAAAGCUUAGAUGUACCUUUUUAUUAUUUUUUACUGUUGGUCUAACAAUAAUGUUAUUAAAAAUUGUAUCUUCAGUUUGAGGCAAGCAAAUAACGUAGAGUAGAAUAGAAUUUUUAACAAGCAUCAUAGGUUCAGCAUAGCCUGAAGCUCAUUUUUAAAUGGAAGUGUCUCUAUUUUUGAAAGAAUAUGUGCAAUAUCGACUUUGUUGAAUAAAUUCGAAUUUACAAUUCCUUUUUUUGCAAAUUGCGCUGCCAAAACUAUUUCUCCUAAUUUAUCUUUUAAAAGGCUAAGUUUGUUAUAGACAAUUUGUUCGUAUUUCUCGGUAUCAUUCACAUAAAUUUUGUCAAUUAUUUUAUUAUAUUUAUCAAUAAGAGUAUCAGUUACUUCACUUAAAUAUUGAUUUAAGUGGUACUGCUUAUUGCUGUUGUUAGCUAUAUUGUUAUUUUGAGAAACGUUGGUUAUGUCAGGAAUGGGAUAGGCGUCUGGGAUGGUUAUUGCGUUCAAUCCUUUAAAGUUGAUUAGUAGCCUGUAUUGUUUUUCACAUGCUGCAUUUGUUUUUUUUUUGGAACAAUCCAAAGAGGUACUGCCACACGAUUUAAAAAAAAAACACAAUUCUUCGUGGUUGACUAAAGAGUGAAGCUUUAUUUAUUUCUCUUCUAUAUUUAUAAUAAUACAAUAUUUUUAAUAAUUGCUUGAUUAACAAAAGAGAAAUGAUUGCUUGAUUAACAAAACACAAAUAGUUUCUUGGUUUCCAAGAAAUGCAAAGUAUUUUACUUACUUCUUUUAUAUUUGCUAAAUUAACAAAAUUAGAAUACAAUAAUUGAUUAGUAAUAUUUUAAGUUAACAAAAUAGAAAUAAUUGCUUAAUUAACAAAAAUAGAAACAAUAUUUUGUUUUCAAACAAUUCUUGGGAUUGGAUUGGGAAUAGGUAGGCGAUAAGGUGCAAGGUGUCGUGUUAACUUCCGUAGUAACUUAAAAAAAGAGCCCACACUGCUCAGCGAUGUGACAGUAGAAUUAGAGAAACAAAAAAAUAAUGUGUGUGUGAAGGUUAGUUGAUGAACUAUUCAAUACAGAAAAAUUGAAUAUGUAGGUAGGUAGGUAGGUAGGUAAAGAGCAUGGGAAGAAAAGAAAAUUAAAAAUGUUGGAAUGAUAAUGAAAUGAAACAAAGCAGCGACCUCGCGAUUGUGAUGGAAUCUAAUUUCCUGGAUAAAAUAAAUUAAAAAAGGUUAUAAUUUUAUAAUUUGUUUUUAUUUAUUUCUCAGGUUGUAUGUUUAACUUAGAAGUGGUUUUAGACUUAAAAUUUGCGCAACAAUAUUGACUUUAUGAAGCAAUGUUAAUCUUUGUCGAUUAUUGUAUAGGUUUUAAUAUAUGAGUGGAUGUAUAAGUCAACUAAUGAAAAAAAUGGACAACAAAUGUAAAAUUAAUAAUAUUUAAGUUUGACAAAUAAUUAAUGAAAAAAAAAAUUAAAGCCAUAAACACUCUCAUAACAAUAUACAAAAUAAUAAAAUAUAUUUCAAAUAAAUCGGUUGACUACUUUCUAAGAUCGUGUGUAACAAACUUUAAAAUGGUUUCGCUUUUAUAUAAUAGUAUAGAUAUAGAUCUGUCUGUUUUAAAGAGUCAAGCAUUUUUAAAGCGAUCUGCUAUGUCUCUAUGCAGGUGAAUGAUUUGUAUAUGGGUUUUUCGUCAUCUGUUUUACUUAUCUUAGGUUUUUGUUGUUCUAACAAAAUUUAAAUCACAUAGUGUGCAUCUUUACCUUAAAUGUACACAUUUCAAGGGCUAAAGUGACAACUAUUGUCCAACGGUUAUAGUCUAUAUAAUUUAGUAGACUUUCUUCAUAUGAAAGCAUUUCAAGAUUCUAACAGUUUUCUAAAUAUGUCAUAUUUAAGAGCAAAACAAAAAAAAACAAUACUUUAGAGGGUUUUCAUUGCUUUCAUUGAGAAAUGUAUGAAAUUAUUUUGAACUUUGCUAUCUUUCAAAAAAAUUAUUCUUUUUUGUUGCCAUUUCAAAACCCAGAAAAUGAGAAAGAUUUUGUUAUCAAGAAUUUUCGUUGUUUUUUUUACGUUGAUUUUCCGACUCAAAGCAAAUUCCCUUCAACAUGUAGAUUCCUUUAAUUUACUAAGACCUUAAAAAUUGUAUUCAACAGAAAUUCAAUUUUAAAAUUAACAUAUUGCCCGCCUGCAAUACCUGCAAACAAAAAAUUUCUCAAAAAUUUAAAUGCCAUUAAACAAAAAUAAUGACAUUUUCAUUCAUCAAAAAUAAUCAUCAGUUUGGAAAUUUGGCCAUCGACAAGAGCUUGCAUUAAAAGAUCAGAUUAUUGGAAUCUGAUUAAGUUCUUGAGAAAAUAAAAAAAAAAACAAAGGUUAUAUGAGGGAUACUCUUUUGGAGAAAUACCAAAAUAUGUUUUUCUUGUAAAAAGAGGCCGAAUUAUGAAAAAAAUUAGAAAAAGUUUUAAAAAAUAUAUUGGUUCAUUUCUGAAAAAAAUAGAAUUUUCGAAUUUACACCAAAAAAUUUGUAUGGGGACAGCUGUUAUUUUUAGUAUUAAAACAUGAAAAAAAACGCCUUAUUCUAAUCGGCUUAGUUUCAAUCGGCACAGUGGUUUAUGCUUUAAGGGCCAGGACAGACCGACAGACGGAUGGAAUGGGGGACCCACUUUUUUUAGCUCUUCUAACAUCGUAAUGUCAUGUUUGAUUCGAAAUUUUGUACGAAUGUACACAUAGUUCCUAUGUGUCGCAAGUAAAAAUCACUUGUGCAUAAAAAAAAACAAGAUGGAAUUGAAGACUAGUUUCAGGAAUUUAAAGGAAACUUAAUAUAAAAUUGAAGAUCUCUUAUUCAAAGUUUCUUCUUAAAAAAAAACUGAAUCUUUGCUCUUUUUCUUGGAAACAAAUGUUAUGAAAAUAAUUUCAAUAAUUACUCAAGUUACAAAGAUUUAAAAUGUUUUUGACAACCACUUUUUGGUGAAUGUCGUUAAAUUACUAACAAAUCUUUACUUACACAACUUACUGCAUAAGCCUUAUGGCUCAUAUGACCUCCCCCCCUGAUUCGUUCAUUAGACAACAUUUGAUGAAUUUGUGCUAAGUUUUUGGAAUAGGGCUGAAUGUCAGAAUCAUAUUAUGUUCUUGGUCCAGCCCUCAGUUAAAAGUGGUACUUUUUGCAACAAAGUUUAGAAAAUAAAAUACAAAUUUUGUUUUCAUAUGCAAAAAAUAAAUAAUUCAAAAUAUAAUAGGGUCCAUAUCCCCAUAUCCAUUGACUUAAUACGAUUAGUUUUAACAUUAUAUUACAUUUCACACUACUCUGCACAUAAAUGUGCAGAGUAGAGAACACAGCACCUUGAGCAACUAAGGCUAUGUAAGGUGAUAACAACACAAGACAUUAAUACAAGACAGAAGGACAGAAGAGAAAGAACAACAGAAAGAAAGAACACAUGACAACAGCACGCAGUAGGUUUCGAGACGGUCCCCCAUCUUUCUACUAACCACGCUCACUGAUGCUUGAUUUCGGUGAUCGAUGGGAACCGAAGCUUUAUCAGUGACUAGGCCGUUGCCGAUUAGUUUUAAAUUGAAGCUAAUUCCUAUAAAAAAAAAACAACAAAUUAUCUCCCAGGGGGGGUCAUAACCCCUACGACCCCUUCUGUAUCCGCCAUUGAGUCAAUGUGGCUUAUAUAGAGAACUCUUCUUCUAAGAUUGUUAGCAGUAUUUAUGAUAGUUUGUUUUGGGUGUUUUUAGUUAAAGUUAACGAUCCUUCCUGAUGAAGUUGUUGUUUUAAACCAAUCCAUUUUUAAUUUGUCUUCUUUUCUGAUAAUAAUUGUAUGAAGAUACGCUAGUCAGUUAUUUUUCCCUUUCAACAGUGAAUUGAAGCUUUUUAUGAAAACUAUUUAGGGUGACUAAGGUAUUUUCUACGUAUUCUUCUUUCUCAAUCGGAAAAAUGUAGUUUAAAUAUUUUGUGAGAAUUUUAGGUUUAGUUUUUCCAGAGUGUUGUCAAGGAGUUCUUCAAACACCAUAUCUGCUAUAAUCGGAGAUGCAGGGUUUCUCAUCGGAAUUCUAUCCCUUUGUUGAUAUAUUUCAUUACCAUUAACUAAGUAUAGUUGUUGUCGAUUAUACAGAAAUGUACUAGCUCCAGAAAUAUAGAUUUUUUGAUUGUAGUGUGUUCUUUAAUUGUGUCCCACUUUUUAUUUAUAAGGUCAAGUGCCAUUUCAAGGGAAUGUUAGUGAAGAGGGAUACAACGUCAAAAGAUACUAAAAUUUCAUCGUUGUCAAUACUCAACCCGCUUGGCUUCUAUUUAAUUAGGAGAGAAUCCUUGACAUUAUAUUUCGAAUUCAAGGUGAUGUUAUUUAAAAUGUUUAUCAAAUAUUUCGCCAAUUUUUACCAAGGUACCUUCGUCGAUGAACAUAUUGGUCGAAGAGGAAGACCUUCCUUAUGAAUUUUUGGGAGCCCAUAAAUUCGAGGGGCAACUGAGUUGUAUGUAGUCAUUGCAUGUUUUUGGCGUUGGAAAUUAUUUCUUUUUCAGACGGAUAUUUGAAGAUUUGUUUGUUUUAUCUUGCAGUUUUUCUGUUGGAUCUCUGCUUAUUGGCCAAUAAACAUUCCUAUCUUUCAUCAAGUUCUGCAUUUCAAUUUAGUAGUUUUUUUUUUACUUCGCUAAAGUAACGUUACCUUUGUCCGCUGAAACAAUUGUCAAUUCUUUGUUUUUGCGAAGAAAUUGUUUUGUUUUCUCGAGAAUAUACUUGAUAUAUUUGUCGAAUUCUGUGUGGGAUUUCUAUCUGAUGUAAUUGCUAAGUAUGUCUUCGAAUUUGCCACGGAUUUUUCCCCUUUUGUCUGUAUUUUUGAGUGUUUGAAUGCAGUCUUCACCGUCUGCGAUGCUUUUGAAGAGUGUAUUAGCUGUAAAGCGAAUAGUACUUGUCUUGUUCACAAACCAUUUCUUUUUUGGCUUCAAACCGUGUUUCUCUUUGAUUCUCUCUUUAAGUGAUGUCAGUUGCUGCUUUUUUUUUUGCUUUAACUUUUCGUAGCUCUUGUUGUAUUUAAUUUGUUCAUGAAUAAAUAAGACUUAAAUAAAGUAACUCAUGAGAAAAAUGUUGCUUGAUGUUGUUUUAAUUCUGCAGCAUUUUUGCAGCAAACUAAAACAAUGUAGAAAACUCAAAACAAAGAGAAACUCCAAUUUUAUAUAAAAAAAAUGUUACUCAUAUGAAACAAGAGCGCUCAAGCCAGCAUGACGGCAAAUUCAUAAUAAAUAAAGAAAUAGCAAAAUGUGGUAAUGUCUACCAAAAUAUUCAAAAUUGUAAAUUUGAGUUUAGAUAUAAUUAUUGUAAAACACAAAAAUAUAACAACACAUGUUUAAUAGAUCUGCUACACAAUGAACGAGCUUUGUGCAAUUAAACAAAAGGACUUGUAUCUAGAGGUAUUAAGAGAUCAAUUCUUUUGACUGGAAACCAUCAGGUAGAGAACCUUACCAUCACGGGUACAUUUUAGGUACUUUUUUUAGCUAUGGAUUAUUCAAAUAAUAUACUUGACUAGCACCAAACUGGUUAAUCAACAUUAAUAUGCGACCACCCAGUUUUGGAACGACUCAACAGCAGAACAGCAACGGCAGAGUAUGCCGGCAAAUCAGGAUUUUCAACGUCCUCCACCUAUUCAUCAGCCGCCAAGAAAUAUGAUGCCAACCGACCAAAAAACGAAUCGGAAUCGGCGGCAUUUGGAAAUCAUUGGUAAGCCUUCUUAAUAUGGAAAACCUCAUUAUUUUCGUAUAUAAUAUUUAAGAAUUUCCAGAUAUGUUGAAAAAUAGAAACUGAAUUCCAUAAAUGCAUAAUGCCUAUCGAAUUACCAAAGCAAAAUGCAUUCUGAACACAGCUAUCUGGAAUCACAUAGAAGAACUUCACAGAAAUGAGAACCCGCAACCUUCAACUACCGAAAAUUUCCAAAAAUAAUACAAUCGGAAAUUGUGCAUUUAUGACAUGGUCCGAUUGGUAUUUUGGAAUUUGCCUCGCAAAAGAAUGUCACAAACGACUUGCAACAAUUUUUUAAUCAACGGAUCGAAUUACCAGAGUUUUUUGAUUAUAAACCAAUCAACUAAAAUUUAAUUGUGCGUCCAUUGACCAGAAGGCUUAUGAUGGCAGGACUACUUCAAACAACAAAUCAAAACGGUAUUGCAACAACUCCUGAAAUGAAGAUGAUUAUAGUCGACGACAAGCUUAAAUGUCAUCCGUUAAUAAUUUUUAAAUACAUUUGUAAUAUUUUUCAAAAUUCUAUGUAUAUAAUUUAAUUUUGUUCUAAAUUCAACGUUAAUAAUGUAUAUUCACUUA
Long non-coding RNA from Eupeodes corollae, 6461 nucleotides. RefSeq lists it as uncharacterized. The transcript has 3 exons. The record is from RefSeq and is a predicted model, not a curated record. Lineage: Eukaryota; Metazoa; Arthropoda; Insecta; Diptera; Syrphidae.